CCCAAGUAGUGUGUGUGAAAUGAUUUGCCAAGAAUUCUGUAUGCAUAAGGGAUAAGAGUGCGUGAAAUUUUCCACCUGAUUUAACAUCAUUUUGUUAAAAACUCCACUCGAUUUAAUCCAUUUAUCCUCAAUGUAGCACCAACACAGCCGCACGUAGAUUAGUCAAUUAUUGAUGUGACGUUAUCUCGUUGAAUUUCUUGAUUGUUCUGUAUCACCAAGUAUAGAUACAUCUUCGAUCUACUGAGAAUGUUUUGCUCACCAUGAGAGCAACAACAAUGCCAUGAACUAGAAUACAGUGAUGGAAUCCUUGUAUUAAGUUCAACCCAACCGAUUAUCACCAAGGAUUUGCUCUUUGAGGAACGCGAAUUAGCUCGGGGAAUACUAUAACUGCAUAUUAUAUACUACGUUUAUAAUAUGCAGUCGACAUUAGGCGUACAGAGCAACGCAUACCUCAUGUGAAAUGUAUCAUGCACGCCAUCAGAAAUAGAAAACCAGUCAGUCAUACAUAAGACAUGUGAACCAUUCCAGUACAUUUAUAUCUACAAGCUUCUUUCGGAGGAUUAUUUCAACACUAUAAUCUGAUCUACACACGGACAAUGUACUAAAUUUGUUUUUGAUCCAUACUGGAAGUAUCUUGAUUGCAGACAACUUCAAAACGAUACAAUAACAAACAGCCGAAAACAUUUCAGUUUCCCUACGAGUUGAUUUAAGAAACCAUCGCUUCGGUGACACGAAUAUAUGUAUUGUCAAUACAUGCCAAUAGGGUAAUUUCAACUGAGGCAAACACAUAGGUUGUUGAUGUGGGUAAAUUAAAAAAUUAAAAAAAGCCCAUAUAAUUUAUAAAUUCAACAGAAGCAUGUCAUAUUGUUAGAUGAUAUCUGAAACGAACGGUACAUUGCUGCUGCACCUAUAUAGGGGAACUGGGGGGAAGCCUGACACCCUGGGUAAGCCCGACACCCCACGACUUUUCCCAGAUAUCAAAUUUUAAAUCAUACAAUAAUGACCGGAUAUUAUUAGUACGACUAUUUUAGGCAUUUCGAUACAUGUCGAUGCCAUAUGGGUUCAUUAAACGUCAACAAAAUAAACAAAACAAGCAAAGCUGAUGCGCUUUUGGAUGUUAUUUUUAGUUGAUACAUUUUAAGGUUUUAAUAACAAAAGCUUUGAAAAUGACCAGUUUUUUUGUCACACAUUCUAUUCUACUCUCCAUAUCGUUAUUUGUGUGUAUUGAAGAUAAGUUUGAGUAUUUCAAUACUGUUAAUUGAGCAUUUAACAAAAAUGUGCGCUGUUGGGGUAAGACCGACAGUUUUUGGGUGGGGUAAGACCGACACGGUGUUUGGAUGAUUGGGUUCGUUUUUGAUUCGAUACAAACGACUCGGUAUAUUUGUUGUGUUCGAUUAUACUAUAAUUACGUCAUGUUAAUAAUUGAAAUACACGUAAACUAUGUUUUUUGCAUUUAUUUAUCAGUAUUGUCUCAAGUCGACCAAAAAAAUUAAAAAUUAAAUUGAACGUGAUUCAUAAAAAUAUUACAAAAAGAAACGAAAAGUAUAAUCUAAUAUGAGAUUUUGAAAUGAUAUUGAUGAAAAAUUUCCAUUGACCGUCGGAUAUUUGAUCAACAGUGUUCCGAAAAAUCACAACACGAACCGGAUAGCUUACUACGAAGCGUGCGUCACUUCUAAGUGAAUGAGUCCUAGUAACAGCCUAUAUAAUCUGCUUGCAGAAUAGCUCUUCCUCGUUAGAAUGGCUAUACAAGUGGCAAUAAAGCUCGAAAGAAUUACUUGAGAAAACCCGUACCAUUACCAUAAUAUAAACCAAGCGUUAAUUAUUAUUUUUUCAUAACACCACGCAUUCGAAUGCUCUUCCUCUUGCUACGCGAUGAAACUACAGAAAGCAUGCGUUUGCAUCACACAUACUCAUAUACACAUAAUUGCACUUUAUCACACAUACACAAUACACUUUUAAUGGAAAAAAAAUGGACAAAAAGAAAGUUCAAAAGGGGGUCGCUCUUGCCCCUUUGGGGUGUCGGUCUUACCCGCAGCGUUUUUAAAAUGUCAUUUUUCUCCACUUUUUGGCAACCAAUAAUUUUAAAUGAAUUCAAUUUUUUGAAACGCUGAAAAAAUUAUACUUUGUUAAGAACCACCCAAACAAGGAUUAUGCACAGAAUAUACAAUUUUAGGAGCUUCAUUUAAUUUUAGAAAAAUUAUUGCGCGUAAGGUGUCGGACUUGCCCCGCGUUCCCCUACUAGGGGGUUAUUCCGAACAGUAACUUUAGGUGAGGCGACACUUUUUCUCACUCGCGCGAUCACCGAAGUCACCUAAGGUGAGACGAGUCACUCACGUGACUCUCUGUCACGCUAUUCUGGUGUGUCACCGCAUUCUGUUAGUCGUUUCAGGUGACAGAAAAGUGAAGAAAAAGGGGGUUAUUCUGACGGUCACUUUCGGUGAGGUGACACAAAUCUCACGUGACUAAGGUGAUCGUAAAUUUUCAAGUCAUCUUACUUAAAGUGAGAGAUGUCACCAAGGUGACAAAUUUUGUCACAUUAGGUGACUAAGGGAAUAUGGAAAGUGACUAAUGGGGGUGACUUUUGGAAUAAGAAAAAACGAUGCAACUGAGGUGAGGCGGUUGAUAGUUUGAAUUUUGAUUGUCGAUUUUAUUUUUUACAUUUUAGCAACUCUGUAAACCUGUUGGAAAUUUGUAAUGAAGUAUGAGUUUCCAUAAUUUUAUUAACCAUUGAAAUUAAUUUAACCAGUUUUUUGUGACUCUGGUAUAUGAAAUAUUUUUGAGAUUGGAGCACCUAAGGGAUCUAUCUGCUGCACAGCGAUUUUUUGAAUAAUAUUUGCAUCACAGGGAAUGUGUUACAGGUUUGGAGUUAUCCUUCUCCGCUAUAUUAUUCUGAGCUACGAUAAUGACCAUAAAAGCACUGAUGAAAUAAAAGAUGACAACAACAUAGCUGUUGGUUUUUUAGAAAUAAUAAUUGUCAAACAAUUGUCAUUUUUAUUAGACACAACUUGUCUGACAAAUUUGUUUUUGGUUAUCAUUUUGGGAUGUGGAGGAUGGUACAAACAUGGGGAAAUAAGGAAAGUGACAGUUUUAGGAUACGCUUGAAACAGUUCGUUACAAAUAAAUGGUAGUUGGAGAUAAUAAGCUUUGUUUGCACUCCUGUUAGUCUGUGGAUAGUAUUUUCCAGUUAAAAAUGAAACUUGUGAUUUCAAUUUGCACAAUGUGGUUGGAUAAGACCAAAUAAACAUAGAAGCUUUUUCAUUUUGCAACAUAUAUUUUAUUUAGGCCAUCAAUCAAUAUAGAUGAUUGGGAAUGCGCCUCUACUUGGUAUUGAAAGUCAAUUGAAGAGAUGUUUUGAUGGGAUCUAAAAAGCAUGUUCCAUUACGGCAUAGAUCAUCUUUUAAGAGUAUCUAGCUCCAGGGGAAAAUAAAUUCAUCGUUACAUGUAAGAUGUUGGUUUUUUGUGUUACUGUUUGUGGGUUCGCGGCUACUCUUAUUCCCCGGGGAUAGUCGUUGCGAUUCCGGUAGGGGUCUGCUUAAUUCCCAUCGCUUGGUAUUGACGUUCUGGGGUGGGAAUGGAAAGCCUCUUUUUGGUCUUCGGGUAUCGGGCACGUGAUUUGUUGUAAGAAGGUUUUCGGAUCUGGUUUAAGGUUCAGGUUCGUACCUAAAGUUCUGGAUUUAUCCGCUUACUUCUGUUAAUGAGUGGUUACUUUCACGCGAUGUUAUGUAGUAAUAGAAGUAGAUUGACGUUACGUAUUCUGCUGCGGCGGGCCAUCGAGGCGCGCGUUUGUCUUUUAUGUUUAGAGUGUUAAGCUAAGAUUGCCGGACACACGGCCUAUGUAGCCCGCAACGACGGCCUGUUGUCUCUUUCAAGGUUCAGAACUAGGACUGAUUAGGGCGAGCCAGGCAAAUUCUAAAUUGUUACGUACACCGGCAACUUAAGUUUAUGCUAGCUAGUCUGUGAAAAUCUUGUGUUAUAUAAGCAUGCAUGAAAUAUAUUUUUCAUAUUCUACUAUUGAUUCAGAAGUUCAAAAAUUGAAGCAUAUCCCACCAUAUGUAUUUCGGAAAUUGUGUUCCUAUUGAAAAUAAUGAAAUAAUAAUAAUUACUAACACAUUGAAAACAUUAUUAUGACGGACAUAGUAUAUCCAUAAUUUGUAUAAUUACUCUAUAUGGUCAUUGCCGCAUUUUUCAGAAGUAUCAUGAACAUAAAUUGUUUCGGGGGUCCUAUGGAAUUUUAGUCGAACCCUUUUGGAGAAAGUGUUUUUAUGAAGAUCUACGACCGAUUAAGUAAAUAGAUACUUUAUUUCAGUUUGGGAGGGACUAUUGAAACGAUUUGAACAGUUGUUAACAUUUAGUAAAUAUAUGGUGGGCUCUCCUCACCAAUUGGGAUUGCAUUUUACUACCAUUGCGAUCAAUUACAGUGGCCCAGUACGAUAAUUGAGGAAACUACGUUUCCCGUUAAAUCUGUUGCUUCUAGGUUUAUGUCGUUUUCGAAUCAUCUUUUCGCAUAAUUGGGUGCAGCGAACUCUAGCGUGUGUUUGCUGAAAACUGCUGCUGCUUUAUAAAAAAAUUGUCAUCGUGAUAAGAAUGUGUAAUCCCUAUUGAGCUUCAUUGCAUUGUAAAUGCUAUAAAAAGGGGCAGAUUAGUGCAAAUGUAUAAUCGUGGGUGAAUGGAGAACAGUGAGUCUAAUUAUGUAAGGUAUGAAAACUAUGCUCAAUGGAACUAUUCAAGUCAGUCUAGGAUCACAUACAUUUGGAGCAACAUCAGAUGUUGCUUCAAGAUGUUCUCAACCCCGAUUUGGCAACUUUCACGCCGCCACCCAUGUUACGGCUUGGCAAGGCUAGACUGGUGUCGAAAGGGGUCAAUUAAGCCUGUCUGACGUAUUCUUUAUGGUCACAUCAUUACCGUUUCUGCGUUAAAAUAGGCAUACGGCCUUUGUUGAUUUUAAAAUUAGGGAAUAUGUAUGAAUUGACAUUUAAUGUCUUUUUUGCUUCAGAUAGUUGAUAUUUACGCCACCAGAGUUCCAAAGAAAGUGGCAGAUUCAAUGACAGAGAUAUCGAUUCUAUGAGACGAUCGACUGACGUUGUCAAAAUAGCAGAAGAGAUGAGCAGUGGUAAGCUGCAACUUAAUAUGUUUUAAAAGAGGAACUCAAACAGUUCAGGGACUGUACGGGAUGGCGCUAGGCCUGUGACCUUCGACUGGCAUGGUCCAUUCUCAUUGGUUCGAAUGUCUUCACGGCUGGUUGGUAGACGUGUGCUUCUACUUACAAAUGGAUAUAUCUUUUCCCUUGGAUGGAGGGAUAUGUGGAUCCUGUUGGUUAUCGACUUUGGCCUUGAGUUCGGGAAAGGAGUACAGGAGUGGUACCUAAAAAAUAGACAAUUAUUCAGGAUUUUUUUAUGAUCAUUUAGCUCGACCAAGCUCAACGGCUCUUAGAAAUGGUAAGCAACCCUUUCGGGUCGAUGCGGUCUGUUUAAGUCGAACCAGAGCGACAUUCGUUUCGGGAAAAAUUUAUAUGGAAUGGUGGAUAAAUAUUUCUCAUGUCCUUUAUGGGCAGAGAUUCUUUUUGUGAAACCCAAAAAGAACUUUUCCCGUUUGGCUACUCAGCAUAAUGAUGAUAGAAAAAAUUCGUAACAAAUAUGAAUAUUGACUGCAACAGGGAUGAUCAAAUUCUGUAUGCAUGUGUGCCUAUAUGUGGAUGUUCAUAGGAGCAAUGUAUCCCUAGCAACACGAAAGGACAAACUCUGAGCCGCCAUAACGCUCAUGGGAAGGCUGGUGCACAGUUCUAGAUGCACAGAGCUCUGCACACGCUGACAUGUGCAACGGUGAGCCGAUAGGUGUACAUUUAAUGUACAUAGGUUGCAAAAAUAGGUUAUUGAGACAGCCCGAUUGCACACUGAUAAAUAACAAUAACAUUAGCGCAAAUGUAUAGAAAAUAUUGUGCAAUACUUAGGUUCAUUGCUAUGUUCUGUGCAUGCCAUAGAGAUAGAAAGUACAUGUAAUUGCUUAGUGGGAACGCAAAUCUUUGUACUGUAAGUAUAUCUGUUGACAUAUAUCAGUGGCAACAACUUUUUCGUUUUGCAUAGUUUACUUAAGGUGUCAAAAUCACAACAAAGGUUCAGUUAUGUUCGGCUUACGUUACAACAUCUGUGUGCAGCUAGAGCGUGCUAUACCGUUAGUAGAUGGGAUGCACACAAGUGUAUCGUUUAGUAAUCAGCUGGCUGAUUUUUUACCGCGUGUUUCAUUUGUUUUGAAAAACAAACAGGUACGAAUUUCCUAAACGAAUCAAAAUUCCGUGAAGAGAAUUUACUCAUCUGCUUAUGCUAACAUGCGUACAUACAGUGAUAAAAUCUCUAAGCAAUCUGAACUAAGACAUUCAAGUUUCAAACGAUUUUGUCUUGCUAGCCAAUGCAAUGUUUUGAUUUUGACGAUGAAAUAAAAAGAAGCAGAAGCGACGGCAGCCAUUUUAGCUGCCACCUUGUGACUCUGUUCAGGAUGUCCCUAACUGCACAUUUUGGUGUAGCUAAUACAAUAAAACAAACAAUAGUGAGAAUUUCGCAUUGAAUCCACUUACGUCUCUUCUUAAUUUUCUUUUUGUUUCCUUGGUUCGAAGCGGAUCAAUCGACUAUUUAUGGAUGCGGUAAAAAUACUAGCAGUGUUAGUUCUUAUUCGCGAAUACUUUGUCCCACAACUGUGCUGUUUCACCUUCAUCUUAAACCAGAAUUCGAUUGUCCCUGUUCUAGUCAAUAGUGGUGAUUGUCAGGAUAUAGCUCAGGCAAAUACUCAUUUUGUCCUAUUAUCAUUAUUCUGACUAACUGAACGGGUGAAGACAUUUCAAAGUUUCACAAAAAGAAUCUCUGCCCAUAAAGAAUUUAAGUAAUAUUUACUCGCGAUUCCCCAUAAAGUUUUCUCGAACCGAAUGUCCAUCUGGUUCGGCUCGAACAGAUCACACCGACACCGACCCGAAAAGGCUACUCAGCAUUUCUAGAAGCCGCUGUACUUGGUCGAGCUAAAUAAUCUUUCCUGAUUUAGCUUCAUACCAAAGGCCAAAAGAGUCGACAACUAGCAGGAUCCACAUGUCCCCCACCCAAGUGAAUUGAUCUAGCCACUUGCACACAUCUACCAAAACCAGCCAAGAAGACUUCCGAGCCAAUGAGAAUAGACUAUGCCAAUCGAACGCCACAGGUCCAGCGCUAUCCCGUACCGCUCCUGAAAUUAUAUAUGUAUUAGUGCUACUUACAAAUUUCAGUAGUAGUAAGUGUCUCAGUCUCUCUUGUAAAACUCGCUUACUGCUCCUCAUCUCUUCCGGCAUUUCAUCGAAACCUCAAUUUUCUUCGGAACUCGUACAUGAGACUCUCAAGGAGCUAUACUGGUGCAAAAAAGAUAUUAUAGGGUGAUGAGCCGAUUUUCACCAUACUAAGCAAGGUGCCUCACUAAUUCGGCAAUUUCUUGCCUUACAAUUAAUGGAAUGCGUAAAACUUGACAUGAACCGCUUUGCUUUGUUGUUAAGAACCAAUAUAAUAACACAAAUGCGUUGAAAACAAUAAAAUUCUCGUGCUUGAGCACAAUGAAAACUCGAAUCGAGUGCCCCUAUUGUUGCGCUACCAUUUGACUCAAUGCGUUGAACAAAGAUGGCAGACACUGCUCUAACCAACGGCUUCAAAUGGGUAAGGUGAUAAUAGAAACAUGGCGCAAAUAGGCUCAUCACCCUAUAUUACUUUAUUCCCCACAUUCCCUAAUCUUAUAAUCAACAAAGGCUGUCUGCCAAUUCUAAUGCAGAAGCGCUAAUGAUGUGACCAUCAAGAAUACGUCAGACAACGAAGUGAAAACUGCCAAAUAGGAGUUGAGGACAGCUUGAAGCAACAUCUGAUGUUCCUCCAAAUGUAUGUGAUCCAAAACUGACUUGGAUAUCUCCAUUGAGCCUAGCUUGCAUAGCUUACAUUACUAGUCUCACUUUUCUCGUUUCACCGCAACAUUAUCAGCAUAAAUUAUGAUUUAGGAACACUUUAUCUAAUAAAAAUCAUUGCUGUUUCAACUAAAUUUAAAAUUUGUUUUCAAUAGGGAAAAGUUAAACGAUGCGCCAACGUAUAAUAAAUGGCUAAAAUAAUGACCCCAGAAUGUUGAUCUAAAUUUAAAUGUAUGAUCAAAUUCAAAACCAAUUGCUUUAAAUUAGCAAUCGCUCACAAUCAUAGAUCACGACCUAGAUUAGAGUGAUUCUUUAUUCACAAUUGAUAAAAAAGGACAUUAUUAUACGGUUCUAGCUAAACUUCUUUUGGUCUCACCUAAAAAAAUCUGUGUCGUUCACCAUAACAGAUCAGACGGUGUUUUCCCGACGAAAUAACAGAUCCCCAAUCAAUACAUUUCUCAAGCAGCAAAACUGCCCAAAUAAAAAAAAAUAUUAUACACAAACUUUAACCCAUAUAGUCCAACGAUUUCACAUAUUGUUUGGAUGAUACCCUGAACAGGUCGUUAGGUUCUUAAAUCACACGAUGUUUUUAGGGCGUGCACCCAUUCAAUGGCAUCCCGUGUUCAAUCACUCUACCAAAUAGAAUUUGGACUGGAUGAGAUCAAACUAUCGUCGAAGAAAUCAUCCGGAAUGUCAGGCUAACGACCACAUUAGUAACAUCAAAGCAAAAAAGUACUGAUUGGGUGUUGAAUGAUACCUUUUAAUGUGUAGUUAUUACAUAUCAACCUAGUGUAUAUGGAACUGCGAAUGAAAUAAGAUUUAUUUAUACGUAAGAACGCAGAAAAAUCUCUUUUCGAAUUUCUGUGUCCAAUGAAACAGUAACUACGAAACCUGGCAUCCGAAAAGAACUUCAUGGUAGAGUAGAUCAGUCAUAACAUUAUUACUAAGCUUAUUCUGAAUUACGACGGAUCACUUUUCGAACGAAUGUGAUUUGCAUUCUCAAUAUAACGACAUGAGUCGGAUUCGAUCGAAACGCAUUCGUUUGAAAAAUCACACCGUCUUAAUACACAAUAAGCUUGUUUAACUUUAUACUUUUUAACAAUUCGUGCCGUCUUUUGAUAAUGCUGCCAGUGCCUUUUACAAAUACAAACUUAUUAGUGAGCGUUUCCGUAUUAGUUUUUUCAAUUAACAAAACUACUACAAAUAGUUGUAAUAUGUUAUGCAAUUGCUUGAAAAAGCAACAAAAUUUGUCGUAUUUAAUACGACGAUUACCAGACAAUCAUGAUAUAAACGGACAACAAUUCGAUUUAAUGUUUUUUUUUUGCACCGUCGUCAUCUCUCAUUUUUUUCUUCACUUUGUCGUCACCUGAAACGACUUACAGAAUGCGGUGACACACCGGAAUAGCCUGACAAAGAGUCACGUGAGUGACUCGUCUCACCUUAGGUGACUUCGGUGAUCGCGCGAGUGAGAUAAAGUGUCACCUCACCUAAAGUGACUGUUCGGAAUAACCCCCUUGAGGGAUGACGAUGGUAAAAAAUAAACAUUGAAUACGAAAUCGUUAUCCGUAUAAAUUUUGAUUAACUGGUAUUAGUCGUAUUUGUUACUUUUCAAGUAAUUGCAUAAUAUAUUACAACUAUUCGUAGUAGUGUUGUUAAUUUAAAAAAUAAUACGGAAAAGCUGACUAAUAAAUUUGUACUUGAAAAAACACUGGCAGCAUUAUCAAAAGGCGGCAUAAAUUUUUUAAAAAGUAUAAAGUUGAACAAGCUUAUUGCGUAUUACGACAGUUUGAUUUUUCAAACGAAUGCGGUUCGAUCGCAUCCGAAUCGUGUCGUUAUAUUGAGAAUGCAAAUCACAUUCGUUCGAAAAGUGAUCCGUCGUAAUGAAGAAUAAGCUUAAUAAUAAUGUUAUGACUAAAUUCUACUCUACCACGAAGUUCUUUUUCGGAUGACAGGUUUCGUAGGUACUGUUUCGUUGGACACAGAAACUCGGAAAUAGAUUUUUCUGCGUUCUAACGUAUAAAUCUUAUUUCAUUAACAGUUCCAUGUACACUAGGUUGAUAUGUAAUAACUAAACAUUAAAAGGUAUCAUUCAACACCGAAUCAGCCUUUUUUGCUUUGAUGUUACUAAUGUGGUCGUUAGCCUGACAUCCCGGAUGAUUUCUUCGACGAUAUUUUGAUCUCAUUCAGCCCAAAUGCUAUUUGGUAAAGUGAAUGAACUCGGGGUGCCAUUGAAUUGGUGCAAUAUUUGCUGCUUGAGAAAUUUAUUGAUUGGGAAUCUGUUAUUUCGUAGGAAAAACACCGUCUGUUAUGGUAAACGAGAGACUAGAUUUUUUUUUGGUGAGACCAAAACAGUUUAUCUAGAACCGUAUCAUAAUGUCCUGUUUUUCAUCAAUUGUGAAUAAAGAACCGCUCUAAUCUAGGUCGUGAUCUGAUUGUGAUGGCGACUGCUAAUUUAAAGCAAUUAGUUUUGAUCAUACGGAUUGCUAUCUUAUGAAUCUGGAAUGAGAGUUGAGCCUAAGUCGGCUGCGUACCAGGUAAUACCAACUACGUUAACAGUUUGUAUAUUUUCCUAAAAUCUGAUGUUCAUUUGCACUUGUUGAUAUAUUAGUAUGACAAAAUACGAUUUAAAUUUAGAUCAACAUUUGCCAUUAAUUAUACGUUGGCGCAUCGUUUAACAUUUCCCUAUUGAAAACAGGAAUUUAGUAGAAAUAGCAAUUAUUUUUAUUAGAUAAGGUAAAUGUUCCUAAAUCAUAAUUUGUGCUGAUAAUGAUGUAGUACUACUACCUAUUGCAGUACAAUCGAUAUACAAUGGAAAGAACGACAAUUUAUGGGAAAAAUGCAUUUUCGGCAAAAACUUUGGUCACAUCAUUAGCGUUUCUGCAUUAGAAUCGUCAGACAGCCUUUUUUUUCAAUUUGUUUAUUUGAUAAGGCACGUAUGCGUUAGCUCAAAGGUGCCAUUUUUUCAUUGUUUUACAUUUUGAAUUUCUUAAAACUAGGGGGUUACACAUUUCAGUAUUAUUUUGUUUUAUAUAAUGAAACUAAAAAAAAACUUUACAGCUUACUUAUAAAUAUAAAAGAGGGUAUAAUAUAAUAUUCGUAAGAUUUGGGGGACGGGUCAUUUUGUGUGUUCUUUUUAUAGUAAUUCACUUUAUGAUUUUUAGAAGGGAGAUUGUAGGAGAAAUUAAUUAUCAACUAAGCGGAACAUUUUACAAGCUUAUUAACUAGAAAUAACUAGAGAGAGUUGUUCAAGAUUAGGGGGAAUUAAUUAGAACUAUUUUAAAGUAGUGGUACUGUUGUGCAUUUCUUAACGAGAUUAAAUAUUGAUCAACUAAAACUAGAAGAUAGGGGGGCACAUAAGUUUUGGGAAGAUAUUCAAGGGGAGCAAAGGGUGAAGUCAUACAUCUGUGUAUCAGAGAC
Long non-coding RNA from Topomyia yanbarensis, 11317 nucleotides. RefSeq lists it as uncharacterized. The transcript is spliced from 5 exons. The record is from RefSeq and is a predicted model, not a curated record. Lineage: Eukaryota; Metazoa; Arthropoda; Insecta; Diptera; Culicidae.